AUCACAUGGUGGGGAUAUUUGCUUAACAGCUCUUUAUAUCUUUGCCAAGCAUCGAACAAAGACUCAUCAUCUCCUUGUCUAAAUGAUGUAAUUUCAUUUCUCAUCUU
Molecule: small nucleolar RNA, 107 nt
Organism: Vicia villosa (hairy vetch)
Lineage: Eukaryota; Viridiplantae; Streptophyta; Magnoliopsida; Fabales; Fabaceae
Source: RefSeq, a predicted model, not a curated record